This is a long non-coding RNA of Phasianus colchicus (ring-necked pheasant), 4187 nucleotides long. RefSeq lists it as uncharacterized. The record is from RefSeq and is a predicted model, not a curated record. Lineage: Eukaryota; Metazoa; Chordata; Aves; Galliformes; Phasianidae.
GGCAUGCCCCAGGGCGCGGGGCCGGCCCUAACGAAUUUGAAUGAAGAGCCCUGCUCUUUCGGCGCCAUUUUCGAGUGAUGCCCGAUCGCAUCGCUGCCGCGGGGGAGCCGCGGAGAGCGCGGCCGCCGCCGAAAGCCGCUUCGCUCCGCCGCCGGCCUUCGCGUUUCUCUCUCCCCCUCCCCGCCGCGCUCCGGAGCGGUGCCACGGGCGGUUUCGACCUUUCAAUAGAGAGCUGAUUUUGGAGAACGGCUUAGUCCUGUGAUUGAAAAACUCUUUCUGGAAGGUUGAUGGAGCAGGAGCAUGAGCAUUUUGAUUGCCGUCCAUCACUUCCACAGAAGCCUCAAUAUUGCCAUUCCAAAUGACUCUCUUUAUUUUUGUUUGUUGACAUGACUGCAGUGAAGGACUGGUGCACCUCCUACAACAGAACAUGCAAGUCAGGUCAGUGUAAGCCAUGGUUGGAGUACUGAGAUGAAUUUAAAGGGGUUUAGAGCUGAAUUUAAUACUGAUGGACCAUAACUGCAUUCUCAGACUUCCAUAUAUUUUUAAACUGCAGACUUUCUUAACGUUUUGGUUUUUUUUUUUAGCUGACUUUGUUACUUUAUGUUUAUCUUUUGCAGUAGCUCUCCAGAUAGUCUAAAUAUGUUUGUUUAUGAUCCUUGGAGGAAUGGCUGGCCACAUGUUAUAGAUUCUCCAAAUUUAGCAACAGUAAAUUUCUGUAAUCAGCAGUUAUCUGCUUAAAUUUCAUUAGUAAUAUUUUACAUUGCACAGAACUUCUGUCAUUGUCUCAGUCUCUCACUGUGUAUACACAGGAAAAAUUGUUGACACGAUUGUGAAACAGUUAACAGAUAAAUACCCUUUUUUUCCUCAAAGUUUGUGUGCUUGACCUUACCCAUAAUUUACAACCAAAACUGCAGAGCAGUUCUAGCUAUCUCUGUUCAAAUAAUCAUCCUUGUGUUCAGAAAAUUAUCCAAAGCACUGUGUCUUUUUAAUGCAUAUUGAUGCUAGUCUUAAAAAUAUUUAGCUGCUUGGUAGAAGAUAGGGGAAGAUUUAUGGGGAGAGUGUAUAAGCUUGAUCCUGAAAUGACUGCACCUUUCUGUGGUGAAGUGAUGCUAAUUUAUUCCCGCAUUACAGUCAUUUAAUAAUAAUAAAUAAUACUAAAAAGAAAACCCACAGAAUUGUUAGGUCAAAAAAAAAAUUGCUUUUUAGAACUGCAGUCCUAACUGUGAGUUCAGAGUCUUACUAUUACUUCCAGAUAAAGGUAAUUAAGGUAUAUAUUUCUCUCCAUUCUUUUUGCUCUCUGGACCACACAGUAGUCUCAAUUAAGUUGAGAGCAUUAAGUGAAUGUCAUAGGCUAUACCCGAACCAAGUAACAGUGCAGUCGUUGCCAAAAGUGCACCAGUAUCUUUAAAAUAAUGUUUAGAGUUGGUAUUUCAAUUGAAUCUUUCCUCCUUUUCUUGUUAUCUGCAUGUCACUGAAAGCAAAGGCUGUGAAGAAGCCCUUUAGUCCUAAAUAUUCAUGUCAACUAAAGCAGCCAGUGGAGAGGGAUGGCAGAAUAUUUGACUCGCAUCUAUUUUAAAAUGUAAGUUUUAAAAAUGAACAAGGCUAUAAAUUCCUGCAUGUUUGCAGUAUAAAUAUUACAGUGUUGAGCAAGCAUAAGACAAGAAGUGAAACUACUAUUGUUUAAACUGGUGGGGAAAAAAGCAAACAGUGCAUUAUCAAGACUCAGCUCCAUACACUUUUAGAUAUCAAAACGUGGAUGCUUAAGAAUAGAAAUGUUUGUUUUUCUUAAUACUGUGGUGACAAUGUCUCUUCAAUUCUGUCUUUUUCACAGAGGUAAGGUUUGCUGGUAUCCCAGAUUAAUUUGAUAGAAAGUGUGUAUUUGAAGCAAGCAUUAACUGUUAAUGUGCAUGUUUGUGCUGAACAGUGUUUAGGUGGCGCUGACUUGUGGUCUGAAGGGGCAGCUUUGCAAGUUUACCUGCAGUGUAAAAAAAAAAAAAAAAAAAAAAAAAAUCUCACUGUAAAAUGUCUGUCAUAUGAUUAAGUUAUGCUCUUCUUGGAAUGCACAAAACAGAUGUCAGAACUGCUGUCUGCACACAACCCCAUCUCACAUCAGCUUAAAGGGGUUAAACUGGGAGAGCUUGCAUAUGGGGAUGUACUUUCUGAUGACUGUGUUAUGGGUGCUACAUAGCACUGGUGGGAAGCACUGCCAUGCUUCUGACUUGAAACUCUGAGAGCCUUCCAGUCUUUCACCCUUUGUUCUCUAGUUUUAAACUGCAGUGAGGUUGGAAAGGGUGACAGUGAACAGCGAAGCUGUGCUUUCAUAGUGUAUCUGUGUUGCUUUGCAGUGAUGAACAAGUAACCCAAACAAAGAAAUAUGGCUGUGUGUGAAUGGUGUCUGACUAUCAGCGUGGAAGGUGCACUGGCCAAGAAAUAUCAGGAGAGAGCUGUUGGUGUCUGAGCACAAUGUGCCAAGUAAAUGUUUAAGCUUAUGGCACAUUCCUGGGCAUCUGACACGAUGUACUAUAUUUAAUAGAAAGGCCUUGGUUUGGUUUAUUCCAAAUCACCGGGCUGUCAGAUUGCUGGCUGGUAGCACCUCUUGGAAUAUAACUUGUUAUUUAAAUUAAACUUAUUAGUAGCUAUAGUUGCCACAAAUUCACUUUGAAUCCCAUGAAAAUCAAUUCCGAAAGAAAAUGGAGUUGGUGUUAUCAUAAACUCUUUACCAUAAGCCAAUAAAAAACUGAUGGCAGUUUUUUACAUUAGACUGUUCCUUGAUACAUCAACUGAAACACUGGAAUCGAGAAAAGGCUUUCUGACCACCACUAUUUUUCUUUUCUUUUUGUUUUUUGUAAGCAGUUUCCCUGCUUUUCUAAUUUCAUUUUCUAUUUUCUUAUUCCUUAUUUCUCUGUACAUGUAAAGAGCCUCCUUCAUUGGUAUUUAAAUUCCAGCUCUUCAGAACUCUUCUAUCUUUCUCAGCAGAGCUCCUGCUUGGAGGGGGCCUAGUGGAGAGACCUAAUGGAGUUAUCUGUACACACGAUCCCCUGCUUUUAUUGAGGCCUCCUCAGUAAUUUGUCCCCCAGCAACAACUGAAGACAUAAGGAUAGAGAUAGAAAAGCAAUCAUUAGCACGACUGUGUCAGCUUUGUGACCAAAGCACAGAGGUACAAGGCUUUGUGCAGAUGCUCCUGGAUAUCAGUGGAUAUCUUGCUUAAUUAUCUGUAUGCUUUUUAUCUUGGUCUUCUUCCUUUCAUCCUUUUCCUGUUUUUCAACCCUUUCUCUCAAAUAUAUCAUCUUCAAUUGUAACUAGCUUCUACUCAUUAAAAUGUAUUUUUAAUAGCAAAGUAGAAGAUGUACACCCGUGGUUUUUGUUUUUAAUUUUAUUUCUUGGUUGGGGGAAUUUUUGGUAGUGAAGAUCUUUUUAAAAAGUAAUCCUAUAAUGCAUGUGAAGUUUUGUAUUCGUGUUUGGGGAAGGGGGGAAAUUACCUGCCAGUUCUCUUAAAGUAUUCACUGGGGAAAAUAGCGUAAUAGUUCUGCCAAGUCUUCAUCUCUUGGGGGGCGUGUAGUUUAAUUUUAGAGGGAUUUACUUAUGCAGAAGAGGAGGGGGGAUUAAUUAAAAAAAAAAAAAAAAAGCCCACUCAUUCUGAAGCUAGAAAGCUAAAACAAGCAGGCAAUUAGGCAACUGAAACAACAGUAUCUAGUUUAACACAGCUUAAAAUUAAAAAUUUGGCCUGGAUGUAUAAAUGAGAAAUGCACUUCCAAAGGUAUUAAAUGUUGUAGCUGUCUUUUUUAAGAAUCAUGAAAUUCUGAUAUCUUAAGGUAAAACUUACAAGUAAAAGGCAGUAUUUGAUCUUGUGAGAAAUUUUCUUGUCUUUUCCCAGAAAAGUUUAAGUGAAUCUUUUUCCUGCUUUCUGGCUAAUAUCUUUACAAACAUAUUCUUCUUACCUUCUCCCCUUUUGCUUUAUGCAUACAUAGAUGCAGAUACACACAGUGGAUUAUGUUUGGCAUAGUUUCUUUGGAGGGAUGAUCAGCUGUGACAACAUACUGUUGCAGUUAGGUUCCUUUUGCCUUUACAUUCAGAUUCUACAUCACCAAGGUACUGGACCCUUUUAGCAGAGGCUGUCCUGCUGUAUUACUAUAGGAGCAAACACUGGAAAGAAAGGAAGGAAAACUUAGCAAACUUUCCCAUAUGUG